This 496-nucleotide ribosomal RNA is filed under the name uncultured bacterium. RNAcentral's name for it is "partial 16S ribosomal RNA". It matches the Rfam family "Bacterial small subunit ribosomal RNA", at positions 29 to 507 of the family's 1533-position model. The record is from RNAcentral.
AUGAACGCUGGCGGCGUGCCUAAUACCUGCAAGUCGAGCGAACAGACGAGGAGCUUGCUCCUCUGACGUUCGCGGCGGACGGGUGAGUAACACGUGGAUAACCUACCUAUAAGACUGGGAUAACUUCGGGAAACCGGAGCUAAUACCGGAUAAUAUAUUGAACCGCAUGGUUCAAUAGUGAAAGACGGUUUUGCUGUCACUUAUAGAUGGAUCCGCGCCGCAUUAGCUAGUUGGUAAGGUAACGGCUUACCAAGGCAACGAUGCGUAGCCGACCUGAGAGGGUGAUCGGCCACACUGGAACUGAGACACGGUCCAGACUCCUACGGGAGGCAGCAGUAGGGAAUCUUCCGCAAUGGGCGAAAGCUUGACGGAGCAACGCCGCGUGAGUGAUGAAGGUCUUCGGAUCGUAAAACUCUGUUAUUAGGGAAGAACAAAUGUGUAAGUAACUAUGCACGUCUUGACGGUACCUAAUCAGAAAGCCACGGCUAACUACGUG